AGGGGUGGCGAAAAAAAAAUAAAGGAAAAGGAUAGGGAAGGCUCUCGACGGCAAGCAAGAAAGGAGAGGGGGAGGUCUUAGUGGCAAGCAAGAAGGGGAGAGGAGGCUUCAACCUUGGAGGUGAAGAAACUGAUGAUGUUGGAGGCUCGGAACCUUUGCCAAACUAGACUAGACAGUACACUCUUAUGGACCUUGCGAUCCAACAAAAAAAAUAAAUAAACAGUAUUUAUGAUUUAGAGAGAUUAAAAUUAUAUUGAAUUCAUACUUUCAGGAUGUUUAACUGGUUUAGAAACUUUCCUUCCUUUUUGAAAUUCGUAAUGGGUUUGAAUGCAGGGGUGUGGUUCAUUGAGUGCGGUCAAUUAUUUCAUUAGAAUGAUAGAUGGUGCAUGGAAUAUAUAAAAAAAAAAACUUAUGAUCAUUUCAAUUGAUAUCAGAGCGAAGAUUUUGUGAGGGAGGUGUACUUCCAGUUCCGAGGAAUCUAAGAGCUGAGCCCCAAGUUUGUGAGUUAUUACCGCUUGAAUUGUACAUGCUGAAUUUAAAUGCUUUUAUGAUAUAAAAGUUGAACGGUUAGAUGUUUCAAAUAAGUGCAAGAUGGUUAUGAAUGAGAUUGGAUGAUAUAUAUAGGUAUGUCUCCAAGACAGGUCUAUCAAAGGCAUAGGAAAGAUGACCGAGAUAGAGGAGAACAUGAGGAGAAGAGACAUGCUACGCCCGACCACCCACCUCUACCUCUAGAUACUGUUACCCGAAUACUAGAAGGAAUGACUCAACUCUUUGAGUAGCAUAUUGGUAAUGCCCAUAGGGGAUGACAGGAGGAUGUGUAUGUGCAGUUCAGGAGGAUGGACCUUAAGGAUUUUGCUAGUACUACUGAUCCCUUUGUUACUGAGGGGUGGAUCCGAUCCUUGGAGGUGAUUUUCCAAUACAUGAAUAUGGCUGGCACUGACAGGGUUCGAUGUGCCAUAUAUCUGCUAAAGGAUGAUGAUUCUUUAUGGUGGGAGGGAGCUGGAAGAGGGGUUGAUCAGAAUACCCUGACCUAAGAGGAGUUCAAGAGGAUUUUAUAUGAAAAAUACUUCACUGUUGAUGUGAGAUUAAGGCUGACGAGGGAGUUUAUGAGUCUCUGAUAGAGAGACCUGUCUAUUGCUGAGUUUGUCAAGAAGCUUAAUAGAGGAUGUCAUUUUGUGCCCCUAAUCACAAAUAAUUCUAUUGAAAAGUUGAGGCUCUUUUUGGAUGGUCUCAAGCUUACCAUCCGCCGGGAUGUCCUGCUGGUCGAUCCGAUGGAGUAUAAUGACAUUGUCACUAAAGCCUACAGAGUUAAGCAGUCCUUGGAAGAUAUCAAGUGGGAGGUGCAAAGAAAGAGGCCCCCCACAACAACAACAAUAAUAGCAUAAUAAGAAAUUAUAUACAAGAUCACAGAAAGGACAGGGACAACCGAAGCCUCAGGGGAAACUUAAGCAACAACCAUAGGGAGUGGUUGCCCAAACAAUAGAGGAGAAGCCGUUGUGCCAAGAGUGCAAUCGCCGGCACUAUAGCAAGUGUCUGUGGGGUACCUACAAGUGCUUUAAAUACAGAGGAGAUAGGCACAAAGCUAAAGAAUGUCCAAAGUUGCGAGAACCUAUGACCGGACGAGCAUUUAUAAUGCAUGCCAAGAAAGCAGAGCCAAACACUACGCUUAUUAUAGAUAAUUCAACUAAUUUGACGUACUUAUUACCUAUUGCAUAAAAUGUUAAGCAGGGGGGGCGGCGGAAUUAGUUGAGGUAAUCUGAACCUGGUGACUUAGGAUUGCAUGUCUCGAAUUCUUACAUGAUUUAAGAUGGGAUCACGAAUAAGAAGAUUAUGGACGUGAAAUAUAGGGUUCCAAACAUAAUAAGGAUUAGAAUUUGAUCAAUUCGAAACUUUAAGGGACUUAAUGGGCAAUUUUUAAAAAAUUUUAGGCUUAAAUGGAUGUGAUGGUAUGUUGUCUCAGGUAGAAUAUCUAUCACGGGUAUAGUUUUCUAUGCUUUGUUAGAUUCGGGAGCUACACACUCAUUUAUAUCUGAGACCUUCAUAAAGCGACUGGGAAUCUUAUCGAAAGACGUGGGGAUUGGGUUUAGAGUCACCAGACCUUCUAGCAAGUAGAUGUUAUCUACCUGGAUGACAAAGGACAUGAAGCUUAGACUGCAGGAGCAUGUGAUUCGGCUAGAUCUUAUUGUGUUACCAAUGCUUAAGUUCGACAUUAUUCUGGGAAUGAAUUAGUUAUCGCAGAAUGGAGCUUCGAUCAACUUCUGGGGAAGGUCGAUAUCCGUCCGACCACUCCGCGGAGAGUUGCUUAUUUUUGAGGCAGCCAGGAACAAGCAGAAGUCGCACCUCAUUUCUUGCAUUAGUGCGAGGAAGCUUAUGACGAGGGGCUGCCAAGGAUUUCUAGUCAAUGUUGUUUUGAUACCUGAUACAAUCGGCUAGAAGGUGAAGGAUGUCGAAGUUGUCCGAGAAUUUCCUAGUGUAUUUCUUGAGGAUGUCUCUGGCAUUCCUCCGGAAAGGGAGGUGGAAUUGUCCAUUGAGAUGAUACCAUAUACGGUGCCAAUCUCUAAGGCAUUGUAUCAUCUCACACCAACAGAAAUGAAAGAACUAAAAGAUCAUAUUCAAGAGCUACUGGAUAAAGGAUUAAUUCACCCAAGCUUUUCAUAAUGUGGUGCACCAAUAUUAUUCGUGAAAAAAAAGGUUGGAAGCAUGAGACUCUAUAUCGAUUAUCAAGAGUUGAAUAGAGUGACAGUGAAGAAUAAGUAUCCUUUGUCAAGAAUCAAAGAUUUAUUUGAUCAGUUGCAAGGAGCAUCGGUAUUUUCAAAGAUAGAUCUUUGAUCAAGAUACCAUCAACUGAGGGUAAGAGAAGUGGAUGUGCAUAAGACGACUUUUAGGACUCGAUAUGGACAUUAUAAGUUUAUGGUGAUGUCAUUCGGAGUGACAAAUGCCCCAGCGAUCUUUAUAGACCUCAUAAAUCACGUAUUUCAGCCGCAUCUCGAUCAGUUGAUUAUCAUAUUCAUAGAUGACAUUUUGAUCUAUUCAAGAAGUAGGGAGGAGCAUAGUCAACACUUGAGGACCACUUUAUAGAUACUACAAGACCGAAAAUUAUUUGCAAAGUUCAGCAAAUGUGAGUUCUGGUUAGAGAAUGUGGCAUUCCUGGGCCACAUUAUUUCGAAGGAUGAGGUAGAAGUAAAUCCUACUAAAGUCGAGGCAAUCAUAGGAUGGUUAGUGCCUAAAAAUGCAACCGAGAUACACAGUUUCUUGGGUUUAGUGGGCUACUGCCGAAAAUUCAUCAAGAGUUUUUUUUCCAUUGCAAUGUCCUUAACAGCUCUAACAAAGAAGAAUGCCAAGCUUGCAUGGGGAGUUGAUUACCAAGACAGUUUUGAGUAGUUGAAGCAAGCACUUACCACCGCGCUAGUUUUAGCUCACUACAAAAAAAUUGGACAUUAGGACCGCAAUAUUAGCAGCGAUUGAUAAAGCGCUUGUAAAAGCAGACCCAAUAGAAUCGGUCAAGAUUAACCGCUCUUCAAACCGCUUCAGUUGAGUUUUUUUGAAGCGGUUGGUAAACUGUUGCUAUUUGAUGCAUAUAGAACCGGUUAUUAGAACCGUUCUUAUAAGUUUCUUUUAGGAGCGGUUCGAAACCACUUCUAAAGGAUACUUACGACCGCUUCUAAAGGGUACGUACGAGAUUAAUAAAAAAACAUGCUCGCAUCUCAUAUUAUUUUCACAAUUCCAGCAAACCUUUUUAUUUCGGCGACACUCUUUGUUCCAGCGACCUUCUCUUUUCUAUCGACCAUCUAUGUUCCAGUGAUCCUCUCUAUUCUAGCGACACAUCAGAUUAAUUGCACCCUAGCAUCAUUCUUCGACAUCAACAUCAUAAAUCGUCUUUGAUUUUUGUUUCUCGAGGUAAUUUCUUGGUUUAGGUUUCGUACGGUGACAAUGUUUUUAUAUGUUAAUGGUGAUAAAAAUUAUAAUCGAUGAUGUUUUUAUUUGUAUUGGCCGAUAGAUUUGUAAAUAUUUUCAAUGAAUCCCUUAAUUUAAUUUGUCUUUUUUUGCAAGUUAUCUGUAUUAUCUUUCAAGUUUAUUAUUGUAGUUUGCUUACAGCGUGUCCAUGAUGCUAAGCUUCAUUUUUUAUAUUUAGGAAUUGUAUUUAUAUAUAUGUUUAUUGAGUUCUUUGAAAUUUUAUCUACGAAGUUUCUUUAAUUUUGAUAAAUCUUGCUUCAAUGUGUUAACUUUUAUAAAUUAUUGAACAACAUCAAAUUAUGCAGAAGCAAUGGAUGGUUGCGCCACAUGGCAGUCUUGAGUAUCGGGUGGGAAUCCUAUAUUUUUUACGUUAUGCAUUUGGUGAUGCGGCUCCAGAUGUCAUGAGACCAUGUCCUUGUUGCAAAUGCAUAAACUCAUUGAGUCAUGAUCGUGAGACAGUACACGAACAUCUGAUGAUAAUUGGUAUCUUACAAGAUUAUCGCAUCUGGAAUUUUCAUGGAGAAAAACUAAUUGUACAAGAUCAUGAUAACAAAGAACUACAUGAUUCGAGGCAACAAGUUUCUGAAGUAAUUAGUCAUGAAUCCAUGAUACAAGAAAUGUUGCAUGAUGCAUUUGGAAUGCAUGAAGAAUCUACAAGUAAUGAAAAUUACAUUGGAGCAUCAACGAGUCAUACACCGAUGAAUUCUAAUGUGAAAGAUUUCUAUCAACUAAUAGAGGAAGGGAAACAACAGCUAUAUACCGGGUGCACAGAGUUUUCUAAACUGUCGUUCCUUGUUGAGUUAUUUCAAUUGAAAGUGAAUGGAAAAUGGAGUGAUAAGUCAUUUACAGCAUUAUUGGACUUCCUUCGUUGAGUACUUUCAUCUGAAGCUCAAGUGCCUAAGUCAUUUUAUGAAGCAAAGAAAUUAAUUUCUAGUUUAGGACUUCAUUAUGAAAAAAUACACGCUUGUCCAAAUGAUUGCAUGAUUUAUUAGGGGGAAAGUGAGAAUGAACAGGUUUGCAAAGUGUGUAACCUUCCAAGAUGGAAAAAUUUACAGAAAUCAUCAAGAAGAUCAUAUAAAGGUGGAGAAAAACGUCUCGAGGUUAAAAUUCCAGCCAAAGUCUUUUGGUAUUUUCCGUUAAAACCAAGAUUGCAACGGUUAUUCAUGUCAUCCAAGACGUCUGAAAAUAUGCAGCGACAUUUCAAAAAACGUGUUUCGGAUGGAAAUCUAAGGCAUCCAGCUGAUUCUCAUGCAUGGAAGGAAUUUGAUGAUCAUCAUUAUGAAUUUGCAUCUGAUCCUAGAAACGUACGCUUGGAACUCGCUGCUGAUGGGUUUAAUCCAUUUAAAAAUCAAAGCACUUCACAUAGUACUUGGCUUAUUGUCCUGAUGCCUUACAAUUUGUCACCUUGGGAAUGCAUGAAGCCUUAUUCUAUUAUUUUAUCCACCCUUAUUCCAGGUCCAAAAGCACCUGGAAAUGAUAUCGAUAUAUAUUUGUGCCCCUUAUUGACUGAAUUGAAAGAUUUAUGGGAAAAUGGGAUUGCCACAUUUGAUGCUUAUGACAAAAAAAUGUUUCAACUGCGGGCUGCAUUACUUUGGACAGUCUAUGAUUUUCCUGGUUUAGGUUGUUUGUCUGGAUGGAAUACAUAUGCCAAGAAUGCAUGCCCAACUUGUGCUGAUAAUACAGAUGCAGUGUACCUAAACAUGACAAAAAGUGGUCAUUCAGAGGGCAUCGUCGUUUUCUACCACCGAUUCAGAACUGCGAACAAUGUCAAGUUAUGGCAAACCAGAGCAACGUGAGUUGGAUUUGGCGCCAUUGUCGGGAUCUGACGUUCUACGAAUGAUCUUAAAUAAGAAUGUGAUUUUUGGUAAGAGUAAUGCAUCAAAACCAAAUGUGAGAAUAAAAACAGGAUCAAUUGAACAAAUGUGGAGAAAACAAGCAUAUUUUUUAGCCUUCCAUACUGGGAAUUUAAUUUGAUUCGACAUAAUUUGGACCCUAUGCAUAUUGAAAAAAAUGUUUGCGAUAACAUUGUUGGAACACUUUUAGAUGAUUCCAACAAGAGCAAAGAUAAUUAUGCAGCACGUAGAGAUUUAAAGAAUUUGGGUAUUAUGAAACAAUUAUAGCCCCGGGCACAAUCAGAUGGUAGAGAGUAUUUGCCACUUGCAUGUUACUCUAUGUCUAAAGAUGAAAAAAAUAUUUUGUUCUGUAUUGAAAGAUAUUCGUGUUCCUGAUGGUAUGUCAUCUGAUAUCUCAAAGUGUGUGGAUGUUGGACGUUGUAGGAUUAUGGGCUUGAAAAGCCAUGAUUGCCAUAUUAUGAUGGAACAAUUCCUUCCAAUUGCUCUUCGUCGUGUGUUGUCAAAAAAGGUAACUGCUCCACUUAUUAUUUUGUGUGAAUAUUUUAGAACAGUGUGUGCAAAGAUGCUACAAGAAGAAGAAUUACAGAAGGCUGAAGAAGGAGUUAUUUUGGUUUUAUGUCAAUUAGAGAGAAUAUUUCCAUCAUCUUUUUUCACAAUAAUGGUUCAUUUGGUGGUGCAUUUAGCGUAUGAAGCAAGAAUUGCUAGGCCUGUACAUUAUCGGUGGAUGUACCCAAUAGAAAGAUAUCUGGGGAAACUUAAAAAUUUUGUUAGAAAUAAAGCACGACCAGAGGCCAACAUUGCAAAGGCAUAUUUAGCAGAUGAAUGUGUUGUGUUUUGUUCUCGUUAUGUAGAUGGUAACAACUCAUUAAACAAUCUUGGAACACGACAUAAAGAGACAUCAAAUGAUGAGUUUCCCACACUACCGAUGUUUCCACAUGUAGGGCAACCAACAAAAGGGCUUCAAGUAGUUACCUUAGAUGACAAAACUCUAAGUCAAGCUCAUAGAUAUAUUCUCUCUAAUUGUACAGUGUUGCAACCAUAUCGUGAGUAAGUAUUACUAUUUUUUUUAAUUUUUUGCAUAAUGUUUUAUUGUUUUAUGAUCAAUUAUUUUUUCUAAUUAUAUAUUAAUGUUGAUAUUGAACAGUGAAAUAAAAAAUGAACUGAAGAGAAGACAUAGAUAAGGCCAACGCCCAAGUAAUUCUCAGUUGGAUGACAUGGUUAGAAUGUAAUUUCCAGAAUGAUUUGCAAGAUGAGUUGAUCGAGUAAAUGAAAGAAUCGAUGACUUAGAUCUUAGGGUGCUUUCGCGUGGUCCAAAUCCAAUAGCAUUUAGUUAUCAUGGGUUCAACAUAAAUGGGUUUGCAUUUCACAUGGUGGAAUCUGAAAAAAAUAAAAAGGUGCAGAAUAGCGGAAUUAUGGUACAGGCGAUGCAUAAUAAUGAUGAUCAUGAGUCAAUCUAUUAUGGUUGACUAACUGAUAUCAUCUCACUUGAUUAUGGUGGUCGUGGACAAAUUGUUCUUUUUUGAUGUGAUUGGGUUAACACUGCUACAGGUUUCAAAAUUGAUCCAUUUGGAUUUUCAAUGCUAAAUUUUUCAUGCUUGAUACAUAUAGGAGAACGUGAGGAACAUGAACCUUUUAUUUUGGUUACCCAAGCUCAAAUGGUUUAUUAUGUUCGUGAUCCAAAGGAGGAGGAUUGGCAUUGUGCCAUUCGUCACACACCAAGAGAUACAUACAACAUGGCCAAUGAAGAUGAUAUGGAUAUGAUGCAUUUUAUUCAUAAUAAUUUUUCUAAUAUGGAAUCAAUAUUGGGUGAUGUAAAUAGAGUAGAUGUUGAAUUAAUUAGAACUGAUGUAGAGGGCUCAAUAGUUGAUGUUCUUCCAGUUGUGAACAAUGAAACAGAUGAUGAAAGCUUUAGCUGAUUUUUGUAUUGU
This is a long non-coding RNA of Zingiber officinale, 7735 nucleotides long. RefSeq lists it as uncharacterized. Lineage: Eukaryota; Viridiplantae; Streptophyta; Magnoliopsida; Zingiberales; Zingiberaceae. The transcript is spliced from 3 exons. The record is from RefSeq and is a predicted model, not a curated record.